RNAcentral lists this ribosomal RNA (336 nucleotides) under Dolosigranulum pigrum. Its description in RNAcentral is "bacterial LSU rRNA". It matches the Rfam family "Bacterial large subunit ribosomal RNA", at positions 1382 to 1718 of the family's 2925-position model. Lineage: Bacteria; Bacillati; Bacillota; Bacilli; Lactobacillales; Carnobacteriaceae. The record is from RNAcentral.
AGUCGGGACCUAAGCUGAGGCCGAACGGCGUAGGCGAUGGUCAACAGGUUGAUAUUCCUGUACCAGUUUCUUUUGUUUGACCGAUGGAGGGACGCAGCAGGCUAAGAUAUGCCCACUGAUGGAUGUGGGUGCAAAUAACAAGUCUGGCGAUGAGUCAAAUGCUUAUCGCUAAGGACAAGUUAUGACGCGGAGGGAAGUACAGUACCGAAGUAUCUGACGUCACACUGCCAAGAAAAGCUUCUAGGGAGAAAGCAACUGCCCGUACCGCAAACCGACACAGGUAGUCGAGAUGAGAAUUCUAAGGUGAGCGAGCGAACUCUCGUUAAGGAACUCGGC